RNAcentral lists this long non-coding RNA (3285 nucleotides) under Homo sapiens (human). Its description in RNAcentral is "HSALNT0116448". Lineage: Eukaryota; Metazoa; Chordata; Mammalia; Primates; Hominidae. The record is from RNAcentral.
AACAACAACAACAACAACAAAAAUAAACUACCAUCAGAGUGAACAGGCAACCUGCAGAAUGGGAGAAAAUUUUUGCAAUCUACCCAUCUGACAAAGGGCUAAUAUCCAGAAUCUACAAAGAACUUAAACAAAUUUACAAGAAAAAAACAACCCCAUUAAAAAGUGGGCAAAGGAUAUGAACAGACAAUUCUCAAAAGUAGACAUCUAUGCAGCCAACAGACACAUGAAAAAAUGCUCAUCAUCCCUGAUCAUCAGAGAAAUGCAAAUCAAAACCACAAUGAGAUACCAUCUCAUGCUGGUUAGAAUGGCAAUCAUUAAAAAGUCAAGAAACAACAGAUGCUGGAGAGGAUGUGAAGAAAUAGGAACGCUUUUACACUGUUGGUGGGAGUGUAAAUUAGUUCAACCAUUGUGGAAGACAGUGUGGCGAUUCCUCAAGGACCUAGAACUAGAAUUACCAUUUGACCCAGCAAUCCCAUUACUGGGUAUAUACCCGAAGGAUUAUAAAUCGUGCUACUAUAAAGACAUAUGAACACGUAUGUUUAUUGCAGCACUUUUCACAAUAGCAAAGACUUGGAACCAACCCAAAUGUCCAUCAAUGAUAGGCUGGAUUAAGCAAAUGUGGCACAUAUACACCAUGGAAUACUAUGCAGUCAUAAAAAAGAUGAGUUCAUGUCCUUUGCAAGGACAUGGAUGAAGCUGGAAACCAUCAUUCUCAGCAAAUUAUCACAAGGACAGAAAACCAAACACCACAUGUUCUCACUCAUAGGUGGGAAUUGAACAAUGAGAUCACUUGGACACAAGGUGGGGAACAUCACACACCGGGGCCUGCUGAGGGGGUGGGGGACCGGGGGAGGGAUAGCAUUAGGAGAAAUACCUAAGAUAAAUGAUGAGUUAAUGGGUGCAGCAAACCAACAUGGCACAUAUAUACCUAUGUAUCAAACCUGCACAUUGUGCCCAUGUACCCUAGAACUUAAAGUAUAAUGAAAAAAAGAAAAAAAAAAAAAAGAAAGAAAGAAAAAAGAAAAAGAAGUUUAAUGGACUCACAGUUCCACGUGGCUGGGGACACCUCACAAUCAUGGCGGAGGGUAAAACGCAUGCCUUACGUGGCAGCAGGCAAGAGAGAAUGAGAACCAAGCAAAAGCGGAAACCCUUUAUAAAAGCAUCAUAUCUCGUGAGACUUCAGUUUGUGCACACGACCACAAGAACAGCAUGAGGGAAAUUGCCCCCAUGAUUCAAUUAUCUCCCACCGGGUCCCUCCCACAACACGUGAAAAUUAUGGGAGCUACAAAUCAAGAUUUGUCUCUUCUGGACGGGAGACAUUAGGUUAGAAAAUGUUGGGGUUGGUGGUCUAGAGCUGGAUUGACCUUUGGUUCUGACAUUCAUCUCUUCUAAGGCCAUGGGCAAAUCAUUCUGUUGCCAGGGUUCAUCAUCUGUAAAUGACAACAUAUAUCUACUCUGCAAGAUUGUGAAGAUUGGAUAGAUUGUACAUAAAGUGUAAAAGUCUAGCAUUAAAGUGGUGCUAAACCCACUGUAGCUGAUACAAGUUAACAUUUGCUGAGUGCUCAGUAAGUGACAGAUGCUGUGCGACACAAUCUGCAUGUGCAGCCAUGCAUCACUUAAUGAUGGAGACAGAUUCUGAGGAAUGCACCGUGGAACAUCAUGGGGUGCACUUCCACACACCUAGACUGGACAGCCCACCACACACCUAGGCUCUAUGGUACAGCCUGCUGCUCCAGGCAACAAACCUGUACAGCACAUUACUGUGCUGAGUACUGCAGGCAUCUGCAACACAAUGACUCAGAAAAUGAAGCUCUCAAAUAAGAAAAUUAUCUGUGUGUACAGAGAUGAAAGGAAUCAGGGUGAGUUAAAUAAAUCAUGAGAAGUUUUAAAUGCAAUCCUUAAUGUUUGUGGUGAUAAUUCUUAGUCUCUAUGUUGUAAAUACAUGUACAAAAAAUUCCAACUACAUGAGGACAAAAGAAAGUACAGUAACUUUGGUAAAAAAAUGAUCAGGUGCUAUGAAACUUUCACGGGCUUACAUAGAAUUUCCGGAGAGUUCUUGAAUUUUUAAAGCUGUUUACAAAAUGGAGCUAAAAGGUCUAAAACCUGUGUACUCUUAGUAUUCCACCGAGGCUGUGGGUACAUUAAAUAAUGAGUUAGAAGUUUGCAGGAACCACUUUGUGGCAAUCGAGAAGCAUAAAGCAUAUUUAAUUAAAUUAAGUAAUCUCUAUUUAGACAAAAAUAAAUCAUUUUAGUGCUUACUGUUUUUAACGACUCAGGCUCUCAUUCAAAAAGAGAACAGGAAACUGAUAAACUACUUAGAACUCCAUUUAUGGGGCUUUUAUAGCAAAGCACUAAUGGGACUUUUCAGGCCAGGGAAAUGUCAUAUUUUAUUAAUAAACGAUUCUGAAACACUCACAAUAAUUAACUGUCUAACACAAAAUGUGCCAGAAAAGAGGAAAGAAAACCACAAAGAUAUAAGCAUUUUUGAAAGUACAAAAAGUUUUUAGAACAUUUAAAAAUUAUGCUUAUUUAAUCCAUUUUUAAGUAAAUUUCUAUUAAGAGCAUGAAUAAGAAUAUUUACUACAAUCUCUCAUUUUUUUUAUAAGAACACAAUUAAUGGUUCAAGAUUUUUGCUUGACAAGACUAUUUUUAGACCUCAGAUAUUAUAGGCCUUUUCAUAUUUGGGAAUCUUAACAUAUAUUAUAUUGAACAUAUUCAUGGGCAAUACCUAACAAUUUUUCUCUAAAAUCGUUAUUAUAUUUUAUAAUUCAUCUUUUAAAUAUUUGAAAUUUUAAACUGGCUGUGUUUCCUCAGCACUAUUUGUACAUACUUGAAAAUUCUUGAAAUUUAAGGAAUUAAACGAACUGAUUAUCUUCAUUUAUAAUACAAUUUUUUUGAAUAUCAUAAUUUAUCCACUAAUGAAAUUGAUAUAUUACUAAGUUUGGUAAAAACUUAACAUCCCCAUCGUGGUUGGUGGUACUUUCAUUUCUUAGUUUAGAGAUAAUAAUUGGUUCUUCAGAGCUUAAACAAUUCUCUAGUCCUCUAAUAAAUGUAUAGGUUUAGAUGCUGCAGCUUUAUCUGGCUUAUACAAUUCUUUUCUUAAUUUGCAAUGUUUUGAAGACAGGGAUAAUGACAAAUAUAUCUUUGAUCAUUUUUGGCAUAUGAUGCCUUGCUUGUAAGAGAUUUUCAAUAUGUAUAUGUUAAAAUAGUAAAAUAUUUAGAUCAUAUGGUCCAAAGAGAGUCCUAGAAGCCACCAGAUCUUCCAAAAUCCAUUGUUUCCUAACC